This 1185-nucleotide ribosomal RNA is filed under the name metagenome. Its description in RNAcentral is "SSU rRNA". It matches the Rfam family "Eukaryotic small subunit ribosomal RNA", at positions 558 to 1801 of the family's 1831-position model. The record is from RNAcentral.
AGUCUGGUGCCAGCAGCCGCGGUAAUUCCAGCUCCAAUAGCGUAUAUUAAAGUUGUUGCAGUUAAAAAGCUCGUAGUUGAACUUCUGGGCGUUCUCACAGUGGCUCCGGUCGUUGUGAGGGCGUUCAUCCGUCUGAGAACUAUAUUCGGCCUUCGCUGGUCGGUAUAGGGAUCAGGCAUUUUACUUCGAAAAAAUUAGAGUGUUCCAGGCAGGCAAUCGCCUUGAAUACACAAGCAUGGAAUAAUGGAAUAGGACUAUGAUUCAUUUUGUUGGUUAUUGGAUCAUAGUAAUGAUUAACAGGGACAGUUGGGGGCAUUAGUAUUUAAUUGUCAGAGGUGAAAUUCUUGGAUUUAUUAAAGACUAACUUAUGCGAAAGCAUUUGCCAAGGAUGUUUUCAUUAAUCAAGAACGAAAGUUAGGGGAUCAAAGACGAUCAGAUACCGUCCUAGUCUUAACCAUAAACUAUUCCGACUAGGGAUUGGUUGGGUUCCUUCAGCCCAAUCAGCACCUUAUGAGAAAUCAAAGUCUUUGGGUUCCGGGGGGAGUAUGGUCGCAAGGCUGAAACUUAAAGGAAUUGACGGAAGGGCACCACCAGGAGUGGAGCCUGCGGCUUAAUUUGACCCAACACGGGGAAACUCACCAGCGCAAAACAUGGGUGGGAUUGACAGAUUGAGAGCUCUUUCUUGAUUCUAUGGGUGGUGGUGCAUGGCCGUUCUUAGUUGGUGGAGUGAUUUGUCUGGUUAAUUCCGUUAACGAACGAGACCUUAACCUGCUAACUAGUCUCUUCAUGUUAAAUGGGGAGGACUUCUUAGAGGGACUAUGAGUGCAAGCUCAUGGAAGUUUGAGGCAAUAACAGGUCUGUGAUGCCCUUAGAUGUGCUGGGCCGCACGCGCGCUACACUGAUACGUUCAGCAAGUUUUAUCCUGGUCCGGAAGGAUUUCGGGUAAUCUUUGUAAAGCGUAUCGUGCUGGGGAUCGAUCUUUGCAAUUAUAGAUCUUGAACGAGGAAUUCCUAGUAAGUGCAAGUCAUCAGCUUGUACUGAUUACGUCCCUGCCCUUUGUACACACCGCCCGUCGCUCCUACCGAUUCGAGUGAUCCGGUGAACCUUCUGGACUGCUGAGGUCUGCCUCGGUGGAAAGUUAAGUAAACCUUAUCACUUAGAGGAAGGAGAAGUCGUAACAAGGUU